Triticum aestivum (bread wheat) is the source of this 719-nucleotide long non-coding RNA. RefSeq lists it as uncharacterized. The record is from RefSeq and is a predicted model, not a curated record. Lineage: Eukaryota; Viridiplantae; Streptophyta; Magnoliopsida; Poales; Poaceae. The transcript has 2 exons.
GUCUGACCCCUACCUUCAAUCUUACCCCCUUAAAUCUGAGCUAGCUACCAACAACUAAGAAGUUGGACAUGGUCAUGAUGAGAGGCAACAAUGUCAAGACCCUGGCGUUGAUACUCGUAGUUGUGGGUCUUGUGGCCAUGGAGCAAACCCAGCAAGUGCAAGCUUCCCAUUGUUGUUGUCAUGUAGACUCGGUCCCUACCUAUUUUGACUGCCGCGCCAAAUCUGAUAGCACCGUCUCAGAGUGCUGCGGUGUUUCUGCUGGCUAUAUAUAUCAGACGACACUGGAUUUGAAUGCAAGUCCGGUUACAUAGAUAUAGAGACGGCCCUACAAGUUGCUAGCGGUAGCGACAAUGCCAUGGGACGAUGCACCGGUGGAUGCCAGGAUCUAUGCAGCAAGAAUAACGCCAAAGUUGCAAGAGUCCGUGACGCUUAACUAGUUAGCCAAGGAGCUGCAUCUCAAAAGCCCGCCAAGGAGUUUUGAUGCUGCCUUCAAUAAUUGGAUAUCACAUCCAGUACGAGUAGAUGACAAAUGUUACUUGUGUUUCAAUUUUAGUACUUCCAAUAAUAUCAUGAGAUGUACAGUGCAUCUUCUGCGAGGAUGUUUAGUGUUCAUCAUGUUAAAUGUUUAUGUUGUGUCCUUGGCGUACCGCAUGAUGACUUCAUGCUUUUAAUGAAAUCUUGUUUAAUUUGCAAAUUAUUAUAGUGUUUCAUUCUUGUGA